GGCGCACGGGUGCGUAACACGUAUGCAACCUACCCUUAACUGGGGAAUAGCUCACCGAAAGGUGAAUUAAUACCGCAUAACAUUAUGAAGUAGCAUUACUUUAUAAUUAAACUUUCGAGGGUUAAAGAUGGGCAUGCGUCCGAUUAGCUAGUUGGCGGGGUAACAGCCCACCAAGGCUACGAUCGGUAGGGGGUCUGAGAGGAUGAUCCCCCACACUGGUACUGAGACACGGACCAGACUCCUACGGGAGGCAGCAGUAAGGAAUAUUGGACAAUGGAGGAAACUCUGAUCCAGCCAUGCCGCGUGAAGGAUUAAGGCCCUAUGGGUUGUAAACUUCUUUUAUACGGGACAAAACCCCUCUACGUGUAAGGGUUGAUGGUACUGUAAGAAUAAGGGUCGGCUAACUUCGUGCCAGCAGCCGCGGUAAUACGAAGGACCCAAGCGUUAUCCGGAUUUAUUGGGUUUAAAGGGUCCGUAGGCGGAUCUGUAAGUCAGUGGUGAAAUCUCACAGUUAACUGUGAAACUGCAUUGAUACUGCAGGUCUUGAGUGUUGUGAAGUAGCUGGAAUAAGUAGUGUAGCGGUGAAAUGCAUAGGAUUUA
This 600-nucleotide ribosomal RNA is filed under the name uncultured bacterium. RNAcentral describes it as "bacterial SSU rRNA". It matches the Rfam family "Bacterial small subunit ribosomal RNA", at positions 97 to 699 of the family's 1533-position model. The record is from RNAcentral.